UCAUUUUUGUACUGGCUUACCCACAGUUCAUAUCAAUUUUUCUCUACUCGUUUUACUCCAAAAUAAAAUCCGAAAUUUUACGCUGUGAUAAUUUUUACAAAAACCGAUAUUAUUUUGUGAAAUAUUUUCCAAGCUUUGAAAAUAAUCAUACCAUGGAUCCUCCUGGCUUUGCGGGGCUAUCGAUGCAUUGAUGCGCAGCUCCUACCAGGAAAACUAGCAAGACUGCGGACUAUCCUCCGCGUCCGUGAGCCCAUCGUGGGUGAUCGCCUGGUUCUGCGAGUUGGAUCUGUCGAUGGGUUCCAUGGACUGUGGCUGUUCCCGUUGCUGCCGAGGGGCUCCUGUCCGUUGUUGAUUCUCGAGUGGUGCGUUCGGCGAGUGACCAUUCGCGCCGUUACAAAUUGACUUGCGUUGAGACCUCCAAGGGCACGCGUUUACGAUGCCAGCAGAAGUAUACUAUCUUUGAACACUGUUGGGAUAUUGGAUCCUUGCUUUCCUUGUCGAUGUGCAACUCUACAAUCUCGUUUGGACAGAAGUCCGUUGGGAUCCUCACAGCGAUCCACAGUGCGAUUAACGACACCCCACCUAUCAGUCACCAAUUCCGGGUUCUGCUUUUCCAUCAGUGCAAAAAUGCAAAAUGACAAAGCAGAACCCGGAUCUAGUGACAGACAGGUGGAGUGUCGUUAAUGGCCCUGUGGAUCCCUGUGAGGAUCCCAACGGACUUCUGUUCAAACAUCGAAGAAGAUCGAAGAAUGUGAUGAAGGGCAGAACAGAACAACAGAAUGGCGAAACGCGCUAGACUAGCGGGUUUUGUCAAUUUCUAUUGUAUUGGGACGAAUGAAUAAAUUUUAGAUAGUGU
Drosophila subpulchrella is the source of this 856-nucleotide long non-coding RNA. RefSeq lists it as uncharacterized. The transcript has 3 exons. The record is from RefSeq and is a predicted model, not a curated record. Lineage: Eukaryota; Metazoa; Arthropoda; Insecta; Diptera; Drosophilidae.